AGCAGCGUGGCUCAGUGGAAAGAGCCUGGGCUUUGGAGUCAGGGGUCAUGGGUUCGACUCCCGGCUCUGCCA
Ornithorhynchus anatinus (platypus) is the source of this 72-nucleotide non-coding RNA. The record is from Rfam. Lineage: Eukaryota; Metazoa; Chordata; Mammalia; Monotremata; Ornithorhynchidae.